ACGCGAGGGGCUUUCGGGUCCCUUGAGUGGCGCACGGGUGAGUAGCGCGUGGGAACCCGCCUUCUUGUGGGGGAUAACCGAGGGAAACUUCGGCUAAUACCGCAUGCGCCCCGGGGCAACCCGGGGGAAAGAUUUAUCGCAGGAAGAGGGGCCCGCGUCCGAUUAGGUAGUUGGCGGGGUAACGGCCCACCAAGCCAUCGAUCGGUAGCUGGUCUGAGAGGAUGAUCAGCCACACUGGGACUGAGACACGGCCCAGACUCCUACGGGAGGCAGCAGUGGGGAAUAUUGGACAAUGGGCGCAAGCCUGAUCCAGCAAUGCCGCGUGAGUGAUGAAGGCCUUAGGGUUGUAAAGCUCUUUCGGCGGGGACGAUGAUGACGGUACCCGCAGAAGAAGCCCCGGCUAACUUCGUGCCAGCAGCCGCGGUAAUACGAAGGGGGCGAGCGUUGUUCGGAAUUACUGGGCGUAAAGGGCGCGCAGGCGGUCCUGUCAGUCGAGUGUGAAAGCCCCGGGCUCAACCUGGGAAAGGCGCUCGGGACGGCGGGACUUGAGAUCGGGAGAGGAGCGUGGAAUUCCCAGUGUAGAGGUGAAAUUCGUAGAUAUUGGGAAGAACACCGGUGGCGAAGGCGGCGCUCUGGACCGAUACUGACGCUGAGGCGCGAAAGCGUGGGGAGCAAACAGGA
Molecule: ribosomal RNA, 681 nt
Filed under: uncultured Alphaproteobacteria bacterium
Lineage: Bacteria; Pseudomonadati; Pseudomonadota; Alphaproteobacteria
Description: bacterial SSU rRNA
Rfam family: Bacterial small subunit ribosomal RNA
Source: RNAcentral